This 450-nucleotide ribosomal RNA is filed under the name uncultured bacterium. RNAcentral's name for it is "partial 16S ribosomal RNA". It matches the Rfam family "Bacterial small subunit ribosomal RNA", at positions 338 to 795 of the family's 1533-position model. The record is from RNAcentral.
CCUACGGGGGGCUGCAGUGGGGAAUUUUGGACAAUGGGGGCAACCCUGAUCCAGCCAUGCCGCGUGCGGGAAGAAGGCCUUCGGGUUGUAAACCGCUUUCGGCCGGAACGAAAUCGCCGGGGAGAACAUCCCCGGUGGAUGACGGUACCGGAAGAAGAAGCACCGGCUAACUACGUGCCAGCAGCCGCGGUAAUACGUAGGGUGCGAGCGGUAAUCGGAACGACUGGGGGUGGAGCGCGAGGACGGGGUUGAAAUCCCCGGGCUUAACCUGGGAACUGCGUUUGUGACUGGCGGGCUGGAGUGCGGAAGAGGGAGGUGGAAUUCCACGUGUAGCAGUGAAAUGCGUAGAGAUGUGGAGGAACACCGAUGGCGAAGGCAGCCUCCUGGUCUAGCACUGACGCUCAUGCACGAAAGCGUGGGGAGCAAACAGGAUUAGAUACCCUGGUAGUC